GACGAACGCUGGCGGCGUGCUUAACACAUGCAAGUCGAACGGAAAGGCCCUGCUUUUGUGGGGUGCUCGAGUGGCGAACGGGUGAGUAACACGUGAGUAACCUGCCCUUGACUUUGGGAUAACUUCAGGAAACUGGGGCUAAUACCGGAUAGGAGCUCCUGCUGCAUAGUGGGGGUUGGAAAGUUUCGGCGGUUGGGGAUGGACUCGCGGCUUAUCAGCUUGUUGGUGGGGUAGUGGCUUACCAAGGCUUUGACGGGUAGCCGGCCUGAGAGGGUGACCGGCCACAUUGGGACUGAGAUACGGCCCAGACUCCUACGGGAGGCAGCAGUGGGGAAUAUUGCACAAUGGGCGGAAGCCUGAUGCAGCAACGCCGCGUGCGGGACGACGGCCUUCGGGUUGUAAACCGCUUUCGCCUGUGACGAAGCGUGAGUGACGGUAAUGGGUAAAGAAGCACCGGCUAACUACGUG
RNAcentral lists this ribosomal RNA (468 nucleotides) under uncultured bacterium. RNAcentral describes it as "partial 16S ribosomal RNA". It matches the Rfam family "Bacterial small subunit ribosomal RNA", at positions 28 to 507 of the family's 1533-position model. The record is from RNAcentral.